This is a non-coding RNA of Meleagris gallopavo (turkey), 1675 nucleotides long. Lineage: Eukaryota; Metazoa; Chordata; Aves; Galliformes; Phasianidae. The record is from RefSeq and is a predicted model, not a curated record.
UGUGCAGGGUCACCAACCACCAGACCAGGCUGCCCAGAGCCACAUCCAGCCUGGCCUUGAAUGCCUCCAGGUUUGGGGCAUGUACAGCCUCCUUGGGGAACCUGUUCCAGUGUGGAGGAGUGCGUGCUGCUGAGGGCCCCCCCUGGAUUUGUUGGGCGUCUUUGGGUGGCGGGCAGUGGGUGGGGCUUCGUGCUGAGCUGAGUUGUGCUGGUUUCUCUGGGCACUGACAGGAGUUGGGCACAAGGAGUGCCCGGUGGGCGAGGUUUCUGACUGGAUUUUGUAACUGUAGGCUUGUGAGUAAAUAAACCUAUUAUCUAAGCGUGUCUUCCAGAAUGAGCUAUGCUUCUCAAUAUAUUAUUAGGCACAUAAAUAAAUUUGACCUAAUUUUAACUCGCUUCCAGGUUUUACUGAAUGUGACAUGUUCCUGUGUACAUGUGAGCCCAGCUUAUGACCUCUGUAAACUUUUGGUAGUUUUCAGGGGUGCUUGGUAAAGUCUGAUACUCCCUUUGCAUAGAUAACAGUUUGCAGUUUUUUAUUUUCACAGGCCACAUCUAGGUUUUUCUUACUGACCAAAAAUAGAGAUUUUUGUGAAUCAAAAAUACAGGAAUGUCAAAUCAGAGGUUGCAUGGGGAGAUGUUACCCAAGUACCCACAAGCUGACAGCUUCUUUGCAGUGCUUCUCAAGCUGUAAACAAACUCCUUCAUAAUACAAUCACAGAGAUGUUUGAUACGUGGCACUAUAAGGAUGUUUUACUCCUUGUAUUGUAGCAUCCAGUCACAGCAGUUAGCCUGCAGGCUGAGAGUGCUGUUUUUGCACUUUGCCAGAUCUCCAAAAACUUUGAUUUUAAACUCCUGGAGCCAAAUAGAACAGUUAUUACAUUCUGGAUGAUUAUUUGCUUGUAAACAUCAGACUUCAUUUUCAAUUGUAGGCUUUUUAGGAUUAGCAUUUUCCAUUAGUAAAAUGACUGUUAAUCUGCUUCUUAUGCCUUGCAUUGGUGUUCUCCUUUUUAGCUGCUUGCAUAUUUCUUUCAGAGACCCCAGGAAUACUUAUCUGAUGCUAGGAAAUACAGGAGACAAACUGAUUGCAAGGGUGUCUCACUGUUUCCUCUCAGUGUUGCCAUCUGCAAAUUGCUUGGUCCCAGGAGAGAUCCUCUCCUGCAUCCAUGGCUAGCCUCAUGUAAGAGACAAGACAGGGAGUAUCAAUGCCAACCACUGUAGACUGGUGCUCUGCCAGCAGGGCCUCCUGUCACACUGAGUAGUAGAGCUGCUACUGGAAUGGGAGCAUGGGAAAUGAAUAUGUGUCUGCCUGGAGAAAGAAGUAAUGCCACGGCUGUCUUUUGAGGAGUCUGUUGCUUGCUGCUGUGUCUGACAGCAAGGUGCUUCUGUUGUGAAGAACAGAAGUCAGAACCCAGAACUGAGCACCACCUUCUGCGGAACAGAAGCCUACGUGGCCCCAGAGAUGUGGCUGCAUUACGCCCAUGAUGCCAAGAAGUUGGACGUCUGGAGCCUGGGGGUGGUCCUUUUUGCCAUGGUGACUGGCUGCUUGCCCUUCCACGGCUGCCUCUGCAACAUGAUCCAGCAUCAGAAGGAUGGGGUCCUGCACCUGAGGGGGGUGUCCGUGCUGCCAGAGCCCUGCCAGGCCCUCAUUGUCCAGCUGCUGCAGUUCUUACCAUGCU